Molecule: unclassified non-coding RNA, 312 nt
Filed under: Hevea brasiliensis (rubber tree)
Lineage: Eukaryota; Viridiplantae; Streptophyta; Magnoliopsida; Malpighiales; Euphorbiaceae
Source: RNAcentral
UCUAGGUCAAGAAUAUGCAAAUCAUUCAACAGAGAUCUCUUUCCAUCUUGUCCGCCAAAAAUCACUAAGCUUGUCCCAACAAGUGUAACAGAUUGACCCCCCCGUGAGACCGGUGCUUUCCCAUACGUCUUCAAGGUCAACCAAAUACGUGUUUGUGGAUCAAAUGCCUUCACUUGAAUGCUUUCAGAAUGAUCUUUAGUAUGUCCAGCAAUUGAUAGAAGCUUAUUCUCCCAAGCUAUCAAGGAAUGACCAGCACAGGAAGUUACUGUAGCUAGAGAUUUUGAUUCAUCUGACUCAGCCCCAGCCUUAGCA